GAUGAACGCUGGCGGCGUGCUUAACACAUGCAAGUCGAACGAAGCACUUUAUUUGAUUUCCUUCGGGACUGAUUAUUUUGUGACUGAGUGGCGGACGGGUGAGUAACGCGUGGGUAACCUGCCUUGUACAGGGGGAUAACAGUUGGAAACGGCUGCUAAUACCGCAUAAGCGCACGUCAUCGCAUGAUGCAGUGUGAAAAACUCCGGUGGUAUAAGAUGGACCCGCGUUGGAUUAGCUAGUUGGUGAGGUAACGGCCCACCAAGGCGACGAUCCAUAGCCGACCUGGGAGGGUGACCGGCCACAUUGGGACUGAGACACGGCCCAAACUCCUACGGGAGGCAGCAGUGGGGAAUAUUGCACAAUGGGCGAAAGCCUGAUGCAGCGACGCCGCGUGAGCGAAGAAGUAUUUCGGUAUGUAAAGCUCUAUCAGCAGGGAAGAUAAUGACGGUACCUGACUAAGAAGCACCGGCUAAAUACGUG
RNAcentral lists this ribosomal RNA (481 nucleotides) under uncultured bacterium. RNAcentral's name for it is "partial 16S ribosomal RNA". It matches the Rfam family "Bacterial small subunit ribosomal RNA", at positions 28 to 507 of the family's 1533-position model. The record is from RNAcentral.